Molecule: unclassified non-coding RNA, 405 nt
Filed under: soil metagenome
Description: partial contains 5.8S ribosomal RNA, internal transcribed spacer 2, and large subunit ribosomal RNA
Rfam family: 5.8S ribosomal RNA (bases 1-121)
Source: RNAcentral
GAUGAAGAACGCAGCGAAAUGCGAUAAGUAAUGUGAAUUGCAGAAUUCAGUGAAUCAUCGAAUCUUUGAACGCACCUUGCGCCCUUUGGACAUUCCGAAGGGCAUGCCUGUUUGAGUAUCAUGAACACCUCAACUCUCAUGGCUCGUCUGUGAUGAGCUUGGACUUUGGGGGUCUUGCUGGCCUGUGGUCGGCUCCUCUCAAAUGGAUCAGCUUGCCAGUGUUUGGUGGCAUCACAGGUGUGAUAACUAUCUGCGCUUGUGGUUUUCCAUCAGAUAACCUUCAGUGAUAUGGAGGUUCGCUGGAGCUCACAAAUGUCUCUCCUUAGUGAGGACAGCCCUUUGAACGUUUGAUCUCAAAUCAGGUAGGACUACCCGCUGAACUUAAGCAUAUCAAUAAGCGGAGGA